Molecule: ribosomal RNA, 427 nt
Filed under: uncultured Limnobacter sp.
Lineage: Bacteria; Pseudomonadati; Pseudomonadota; Betaproteobacteria; Burkholderiales; Burkholderiaceae
Description: bacterial SSU rRNA
Rfam family: Bacterial small subunit ribosomal RNA
Source: RNAcentral
UGGGGAAUUUUGGACAAUGGGCGAAAGCCUGAUCCAGCAAUGCCGCGUGUGCGAAGAAGGCCUUCGGGUUGUAAAGCACUUUUGUUCGGGAAGAAAACGUUCGUGUUAAUACCAUGGGCGGAUGACGGUACCGGAAGAAUAAGCACCGGCUAACUACGUGCCAGCAGCCGCGGUAAUACGUAGGGUGCAAGCGUUAAUCGGAAUUACUGGGCGUAAAGCGUGCGCAGGCGGCUAUGUAAGACAGGUGUGAAAUCCCCGAGCUUAACUUGGGAAUUGCAUUUGUGACUGCAUGGCUAGAGUGUGUCAGAGGGAGGUGGAAUUCCACGUGUAGCAGUGAAAUGCGUAGAUAUGUGGAGGAACACCAAUGGCGAAGGCAGCCUCCUGGGAUAACACUGACGCUCAUGCACGAAAGCGUGGGGAGCAAACA